GGAGGGGUGGGAGAGUGGUUAAAUCCACCAGACUGUAAAUCUGGCGCCGUAUGGCUACGCUGGUUCGAAUCCAGCCCCCUCCA
Molecule: transfer RNA, 83 nt
Filed under: Amphiplicatus metriothermophilus
Lineage: Bacteria; Pseudomonadati; Pseudomonadota; Alphaproteobacteria; Parvularculales; Parvularculaceae
Rfam family: tRNA
About the family: Transfer RNA (tRNA) molecules are approximately 80 nucleotides in length. Their secondary structure includes four short double-helical elements and three loops (D, anti-codon, and T loops).
Source: Rfam by way of RNAcentral